GGGGAAAUGCCCUUAGUCUGGCUCAGUGGCAGAGCAUCUUUUUGGCACACAGAAAGUACCAGGUUCAAUUCCUAGGACCUUCA
Molecule: transfer RNA, 83 nt
Filed under: Sphaerodactylus townsendi
Lineage: Eukaryota; Metazoa; Chordata; Lepidosauria; Squamata; Sphaerodactylidae
Description: tRNA-Ala
Rfam family: tRNA (bases 16-78)
About the family: Transfer RNA (tRNA) molecules are approximately 80 nucleotides in length.
Source: RNAcentral